GCAUGGUUUGAAGAGAAAAAGGUGGCCUCUUUACAAUGCUACCACUUACAGAUGAAUCCGCGUCCCAUUAGCCAGUUGGUGGGGUAAAGGCCUACCAAAGCGACGAUGGGUAGCCGGCCUGAGAGGGUGACCGGCCACACUGGAACUGAGAUACGGUCCAGACUCCUACGGGAGGCAGCAGUGGGGAAUCUUCCGCAAUGGGCGCAAGCCUGACCGAGCAACGCCGCGUGAGUGAUUAAGGCCUUCGGGUUGUAAAGCUCUGUUGUAAGGGAAGAACAUUCAGGAUAGGAAAUGAUCUUGAACUGACGGUACCUUACCAGAAAGCCACGGCUAACUACGUGCCAGCAGCCGCGGUAAUACGUAGGUGGCAAGCGUUAUCCGGAAUUAUUGGGCGUAAAGGGUGCGUAGGCGGUUUAUUAAGUCUAUGGUGAAAGUGCGGGGCUCAACCCCGUAUGGCCAUAGAAACUGAUAGACUUGAGUGCAGGAGAGGGCAAUGGAAUUCCAUGUGUAGCGGUAAAAUGCGUAGAUAUAUGGAGGAACACCAGUGGCGAAGGCGGCUUUCUGGACUGUAACUGACGCUGAGGCGCGAAAGCGUGGGGAGCAAACAGGAUUAGAUACCCUGGUAGUCCACGCCGUAAACGAUGAGUACUAGGUGUAGGGGAAACUCUGUGCUGUAGUUAACGCAAUAAGUACUCCGCCUGAGUAGUACGUACGCAAGUAUGAAACUCAAAGGAAUUGACGGGACCCCGCACAAGCGGUGGAUCAUGUUGUUUAAUUCGAUGAUACGCGAAGAACCUUACCAGGUCUUGACAUCCCAUGCAAAGCCCUGGAGACAGGGGAGGUUAUCCGGGAUACAGGUGGUGCAUGGUUGUCGUCAGCUCGUGUCGUGAGAUGUUGGGUUAAGUCCCGCAACGAGCGCAACCCUUGUCUUUAGUUACCAUCAUUCAGUUGGGGACUCUAGAGAGACUGCCGGUGAUAAACCGGAGGAAGGUGGGGAUGACGUCAAAUCAUCAUGCCCCUUAUGGCCUGGGCUACAAACGUAAUACAAUGGCGUAUACAAAGGGAUGCGAAAGGGCGACCUGGAGCAAAUCCCUCAAAGUACGUCUCAGUUCAGAUUGGAGUCUGCAACUCGACUCCAUGAAGGCGGAAUCGCUAGUAAUCGCGGAUCAGCAUGCCGCGGUGAAUACGUUCUCGGGCCUUGUACACACCGCCCGUCA
RNAcentral lists this ribosomal RNA (1217 nucleotides) under uncultured bacterium. RNAcentral describes it as "partial 16S ribosomal RNA". It matches the Rfam family "Bacterial small subunit ribosomal RNA", at positions 188 to 1399 of the family's 1533-position model. The record is from RNAcentral.